RNAcentral lists this small RNA (547 nucleotides) under Pan troglodytes (chimpanzee). Its description in RNAcentral is "processed transcript". Lineage: Eukaryota; Metazoa; Chordata; Mammalia; Primates; Hominidae. The record is from RNAcentral.
GUCUGCGCAAGCGCUAACCAAGAAAGGACGGUUUCGGGUAGAUUGUUGGUUAAGAAGAAAGCCGGGAAAGUGAAGGAGAGGGGGAAGAAAGGAAGUGAAAAGACUUUGGCUGUUGGAAUCUCAGAUCUGGAAUAGGCUGUAUAGGCUAUUUAUAAUCUCUAAUUGCCGAGGAACCUGAAGUUCAGAGUUAACCAGUGACUGACUCAGGACAUGCAAAAUGGCAAGACCCGAGGUAGAAGAGCUCACCUUUCCUGACUCUCAGUUUCCUGUUCCCUGAAAAUGUAAGCUAAGCUGGCAGCCCUGUCCCAGCAAGGGGGAGGUACAUGGAAGGCCACAGGAAGAAACAAGAUCUUGAGCUGAGCAAGAACAUCCCAGCAUCUUCAUUGACUUUAAAACUAUAUUCUGGAGUCUUCCGUGGUUCACUAUUCCAGUACUACAGAGAUUCCUUAUAUUACAUGGCAGGAGGGGGGUAAACUGAGGGAUAGUGAAGACAACAAUAAAUUAAUCAAGAGCUUUCCUCAUAUCUCAGAACCUAUCCUCUGUAAAA